Molecule: non-coding RNA, 69 nt
Organism: Rattus norvegicus (Norway rat)
Lineage: Eukaryota; Metazoa; Chordata; Mammalia; Rodentia; Muridae
Source: Rfam
GGGGAUUUAGCUCAGCGGUAGAGCACUUGCCUAGCAAGCGCUAGGCCCUGGGUUCGGUCCCCAGCUCCG